CAGCACCUCAAGUGGUCAGGAUGAUUAUUGGGCCUAAAGCAUCCGUAGCCGGCGCUGUAAGUUUUCGGUUAAAUCUGUACGCUCAACGUACAGGCUGCCGGGAAUACUGCAGCGCUAGGGAGUGGGAGAGGUAGACGGUACUCGGUAGGAAGUGGUAAAAUCCUUUGAUCUAUUGAUGACCACCUGUGGCGAAGGCGGUCUACCAGAACACGUCCGACGGUGAGGGAUGAAAGCUGGGGGAGCAAACCGGAUUAGAUACCCGAGUAGUCC
RNAcentral lists this ribosomal RNA (270 nucleotides) under uncultured archaeon. RNAcentral's name for it is "partial 16S ribosomal RNA". It matches the Rfam family "Archaeal small subunit ribosomal RNA", at positions 477 to 747 of the family's 1478-position model. The record is from RNAcentral.